RNAcentral lists this long non-coding RNA (261 nucleotides) under Nicotiana benthamiana. RNAcentral's name for it is "long non-coding RNA (NBEN_LNC008222)". Lineage: Eukaryota; Viridiplantae; Streptophyta; Magnoliopsida; Solanales; Solanaceae. The record is from RNAcentral.
AUUGAUCUUUUUCUCCAACAACACGCUCGAUGCGGUAGCAUCACCCUUUGCAACGAUCAAGGCUGGUAAGUCCAUCGAUCCAUACAGUUGUCCAUGUACCAGUAGAAGAUUCGGCAGCUACCGCGGCCCCUGCUUCUUCAGGUGGAACUCCAGGUUGAGGAGUUACUCGGAAUGAUCAAGGCUGGUAAGUCCAUCGAUCCAUACAGUUGUCCAUGUACCAGUAGAAGAUUCGGCAGCUACCGCGGCCCCUGCUUCUUCAAG